CAAAGUCGACCACGUGAAAAAAACUUUUCGAGUUUCUUUUGAUAGAAUUAAUAUCCAUUAAUUCUUAACAACUCUUCUCACCAAAGGACGAUAAUAAAUGACCAAUAUAAACAAACAAUAAAAAUUGUACAUACUGUACCACUUAUAACAACCGGAGUAAAACAUAACCUGCUGCAAUUUACAUAAAUCAAAGUUCUAAAAAAGUAUCAUCCUUGUGUCGUUUUCGGUCGUGACUUUUUGCCUUUUCUUGUGAUUCCAAUUCUAUGCAGGAAAACUGUAUUUUGACAGCUCAUAUUUAACAACCAACGAACCUUGGCUUACAACAUUAUAUAGGCAAGGUGGUAUUUUGUCCGGCAACGAGUAUAGUUCACCUGUCAGUUUGAGAUCUUUUAUUUUAAGAAAGCAACGAGUGAAUGCUGAUAGAUUGUCGAAUUGAAGAAGAGGAUAUAGAUUGUCCAAUUGAAGAAGAGGAUAUAACUGUGAAGAGGAAGAGGAUUAUGAUGCCCUAGACAAUGAGACGUUUGGCUCUGAUGUAACAGCAUAAUGGAAUUAUAUUUUCGCUUUUGGUGCUGGAUGAAACGGAUUGGAUUGUACCAAAGCCUGGCGUCUUGUACAGUUCCUCAAAUUUGCCUGUUCGGCGUCAGAAGUUUGCUCAAACUUAGAUAUUAGUGAAAAAUGUUUGCAUCGUAGAGAAAUUUAAUAUAUCUCCAUUUGACAGUCGAGAGAACAUUGACUACGGUGAAAGCUUACAAAUCUGACGGUGAUAUGGAUACUGUGAGCCAAGUAUCGAUGGAAGGAUAUGGAUAUAUGGAUAUUGAGAGUCAAGCAUCGAUGGAAGGAAUGUACAUGUUUCUACGUAGUGGCGAUUCUAUAUACUUGAUCACGAGGGCAGUCCGAAUAGUUAAGCGAUUUCAUUGUUGGUUCCUAUUGUGACUUUGCUAUCGUAUUCAGUGUAAACACAGCCACUACCAUCAGACAAUUGUCAUGGAAUCUCGUUGUAUCUCUCGAGAGCAAGUACAUAGGCAAAGAAGUUUUGAUUGCGAGAACAAACUCGGAAGAUGAUCUGAAAACAAUUGUAUCAGUAUCAAAAAAAAAGUACCGAUUCUUUAUUUCGUAUUGAAAGAAGUGGAGCUCAGAAGAAAUUUACCAAUUUAUUUAGGAUCUGUUUGGAGCCAACAUGAAACAUCUAGUUUUGAUUUGCUAACGCAGGCAGAAACUUUAGACAGUGUAAAAAUUUACGAGUGUUACCCAUGAAUGCUUGUCUAGAGUAUUUCAUGCUCGGGCAAUUAUUGGACAACGAGAAAAACGUGAACGACAAAUAAUCGAAUUUCUAUUUCCUGGUUCAACUGAGCUUGGGUUUGAAUCGAUGUUUAGAUAUUUAAGCGACGUGCUUUAUUCAACAGAUUUAUUUCGAUAUGUCCAAACUUCAAUCUUCUUAGUUUAUUAGAUUGUCAAAUUAAUUUUCAUUCAGGACUGUACAAAAAGUUUUAUCCGAACAAUGGCUCAGUCAAGCAAGCAUCAGAAUCAGUGCCAUUGAUUAACGUUCUGAGCUACAUAAGAAAGCAAACGAAAUAUUGGAAUCACGUUAAUUUCGGUAGUACGUUGAUCGAUGAAGUCGCGUUGGGAUCUUUGCCAACGGCAGAAAAUUUGAAACUUGAAUUAUUGUGAUUGCCAUCGUCCGAUAAAAUUACGAGCG
Venturia canescens is the source of this 1696-nucleotide long non-coding RNA. RefSeq lists it as uncharacterized. NCBI's taxonomy places the organism in Eukaryota, Metazoa, Arthropoda, Insecta, Hymenoptera, Ichneumonidae. The transcript is spliced from 5 exons. The record is from RefSeq and is a predicted model, not a curated record.